GUUGGCCCACUAAUCAGCUAGCAUAAUUAAUGCGCAUUUCUCUUUCUUCAAUAGUCCCAACCCCUCUCUUUCCUUUUUUAUAACUUAGAGAACGAAGAAGAUGGAGCGCGUCACCGCAAGUAAUCUAUAAUCGCGAGUAAAGAAGCAGAGGUAUGAUCUGUUAUUUUCUUCCAACUUCAAGCUUCCCUCUUUCCUCUUCCAGCUUCCUCCUUUCCGAAGUCUAUCGCCGUCCCGCCAUCCAAAUUGAAUCAGGGCUCACCAAUUUGAUGUCUGCAACCCGGUCAAGACCUGGAAUCGGUUUAUGUUUGUGGGAUCGUUGCUUUCUGCCAGGGUUCAGAGGAGGAAGGGAUGGCUUUGCUCCGGUCUUUAGACGGUGAAGGAUUGCGAUGGCCGGAGUAUUGUCGGAACAUGGUGAAGUCGGUGAGAGAUGUUAUGUCGGUCAGAAAUUUCAUGGUGGGAGAGCACAAUUCAGUAAGGAGGGCGAAUAAUUGUGACUCUUGCCGCGAAGAUGGGGUCGGAUUAUUAGCAGCACCGUUGGAAGAUGAAAGGUGGGUGGCGAGGGACGAUGAAAGCUGGAGGAUGGGAAGUCAAAAUAUAGAUGGUCAAUUCGGGUAAAAUGGGGGCAUAUUGGUAACUCCAUGAUUUUAGCCUUCGAGUUGAAGUUAGCCUUAGGAGUCUUGUUACACAAAAAAAUAGAAAAUUACAAUGGAGAAACACAUCAAACAUUUAAAAUAUGGAGGAAAGAAUUAGGGUAAAGAAGAGCUUCAUGUGCCAUCACAUAUACAACUCGAUUAUCCAGACGACGAAUGUGACUAAUAGAAACAACAUACAUUGAUUGGAGAAGGCCCCGACAUUCUGAUAGCUGCGUGGCAGGCGAACAACUUCAACGGAAUCCGAGUGAAGUAAAAUAGGUCAACCUUGAACAAUGAGUGCAAAUAGUAGUGCCCGACGAAUCCCUGGCAGCUCGAGAGUUAGAACAUCAAUCAUUGUUGAAAAAACUUAUUCGAACACAUGAAGCAAAGAUCCCACAACAUCUUGGACCACCAUACUCAUACUCUCGUAACCCCCAGAUUGUGCCUCACGUGGUGGACGAAUAGCAACAUCGGUGAAAAGACGACAUAUAGGGUGGUGAGAGAGAUAGUGAUGAGGCUGACACUAGUGGCCUAGGAGAAAGCUCACUAUCAAAAAGAGUACAUGCAUCCUUCAUAUGGCGUAAAAAGAAUC
This 1224-nucleotide long non-coding RNA is filed under the name Linum usitatissimum (flax). RNAcentral's name for it is "long non-coding RNA (LUSI_LNC005809)". Lineage: Eukaryota; Viridiplantae; Streptophyta; Magnoliopsida; Malpighiales; Linaceae. The record is from RNAcentral.